This 465-nucleotide ribosomal RNA is filed under the name Vreelandella stevensii. Its description in RNAcentral is "partial 16S ribosomal RNA". It matches the Rfam family "Bacterial small subunit ribosomal RNA", at positions 338 to 795 of the family's 1533-position model. The record is from RNAcentral. Lineage: Bacteria; Pseudomonadati; Pseudomonadota; Gammaproteobacteria; Oceanospirillales; Halomonadaceae.
CCUACGGGUGGCAGCAGUGGGGAAUAUUGGACAAUGGGGGGAACCCUGAUCCAGCCAUGCCGCGUGUGUGAAGAAGGCCCUCGGGUUGUAAAGCACUUUCAGUGAGGAAGAACGCCUGGUGGUUAAUACCCAUCAGGAAAGACAUCACUCACAGAAGAAGCACCGGCUAACUCCGUGCCAGCAGCCGCGGUAAUACGGAGGGUGCGAGCGUUAAUCGGAAUUACUGGGCGUAAAGCGCGCGUAGGUGGCUUGAUAAGCCGGUUGUGAAAGCCCCGGGCUCAACCUGGGAACGGCAUCCGGAACUGUCAAGCUAGAGUGCAGGAGAGGAAGGUAGAAUUCCCGGUGUAGCGGUGAAAUGCGUAGAGAUCGGGAGGAAUACCAGUGGCGAAGGCGGCCUUCUGGACUGACACUGACACUGAGGUGCGAAAGCGUGGGUAGCAAACAGGAUUUGAUACCCCGGUAGUC